RNAcentral lists this ribosomal RNA (452 nucleotides) under uncultured bacterium. RNAcentral describes it as "bacterial SSU rRNA". It matches the Rfam family "Bacterial small subunit ribosomal RNA", at positions 330 to 793 of the family's 1533-position model. The record is from RNAcentral.
UCCAGACUCCUGCGGGAGGCAGCAGUGGGGAAUAUUGGACAAUGGGGGGAACCCUGAUCCAGCGACGCCGCGUGAGUGAAGAAGUAUUUCGGUAUGUAAAGCUCUAUCAGCAGGGAAGAAAGAAAUGACGGUACCUGACUAAGAAGCCCCGGCUAACUACGUGCCAGCAGCCGCGGUCAUACGUAGGAUCCGAGCAUUAUCCGGAGUGACUGGGUGUAAAGAGUUGCGUAGGUGGCAUAAUAAGUAGCUAGUGAAAUCUGGUGGCUCAACCAUUCGGACUAUUAGCUAAACUGUUAAGCUCGAGACCGUUAGGGGUAACUGGAAUUUCUAGUGUAGGAGUGAAAUCCGUAGAUAUUAGAAGGAACACCGAUAGCGUAGGCAGGUUACUGGGACGGUUCUGACACUAAGGCACGAAAGCGUAGGGAGCAAACGGGAUUAGAUACCCGCGUAAG